AUCAUGCAUGCUUGAGUCAAAUUAGCCAUAUAUAUAUGUAUGUAUGUGUGUGUGUGUGUGUGUGUGUAUGGUAUAUAUAUAUAUAUAUAUAUAUAUAAAUAUAUAUAUAUAUAUAUA
Molecule: microRNA precursor, 117 nt
Filed under: Myotis lucifugus (little brown bat)
Lineage: Eukaryota; Metazoa; Chordata; Mammalia; Chiroptera; Vespertilionidae
Description: miRNA (ENSMLUG00000023377.1)
Source: RNAcentral